RNAcentral lists this ribosomal RNA (74 nucleotides) under Glaesserella parasuis. RNAcentral's name for it is "partial 16S ribosomal RNA". It matches the Rfam family "Bacterial small subunit ribosomal RNA", at positions 1460 to 1533 of the family's 1533-position model. The record is from RNAcentral. Lineage: Bacteria; Pseudomonadati; Pseudomonadota; Gammaproteobacteria; Pasteurellales; Pasteurellaceae.
CGGUAUGAUUCAUGACUGGGGUGAAGUCGUAACAAGGUAACCGUAGGGGAACCUGCGGUUGGAUCACCUCCUUA